AUAGGGGAGCCGGAGGGAAACCGAGUCUUAAUUGGGCGUUAAGUUGCAGGGUAUAGACCCGAAACCCGGUGAUCUAGCCAUGGGCAGGUUGAAGGUUGGGUAACACUAACUGGAGGACCGAACCGACUAAUGUUGAAAAAUUAGCGGAUGACCUGUGGCUGGGGGUGAAAGGCCAAUCAAACCGGGAGAUAGCUGGUUCUCCCCGAAAGCUAUUUAGGUAGCGCCUCGUGAAUUCAUCUCCGGGGGUAGAGCACUGUUUCGGCUAGGGGGCCAUCCCGGCUUACCAACCCGAUGCAAACUGCGAAUACCGGAGAAUGUUAUCACGGGAGACACACGGCGGGUGCUAACGUCCGUCGUGAAGAGGGAAACAACCCAGACCGCCAGCUAAGGUCCCAAAGUCAUGGUUAAGUGGGAAACGAUGUGGGAAGGCCCAGACAGCCAGGAUGUUGGCUUAGAAGCAGCCAUCAUUUAAAGAAAGCGUAAUAGCUCACUGGUCGAGUCGGCCUGCGCGGAAGAUGUAACGGGGCUAAACCAUGCACCGAAGCUGCGGCAGCGACGCUUAUGCGUUGUUGGGUAGGGGAGCGUUCUGUAAGCCUGUGAAGGUGUGUCGUGAGGC
This 616-nucleotide ribosomal RNA is filed under the name Salmonella enterica. RNAcentral describes it as "partial 23S ribosomal RNA". It matches the Rfam family "Bacterial large subunit ribosomal RNA", at positions 657 to 1269 of the family's 2925-position model. Lineage: Bacteria; Pseudomonadati; Pseudomonadota; Gammaproteobacteria; Enterobacterales; Enterobacteriaceae. The record is from RNAcentral.